This 493-nucleotide long non-coding RNA is filed under the name Ananas comosus (pineapple). Its description in RNAcentral is "long non-coding RNA (ACOM_LNC031822)". Lineage: Eukaryota; Viridiplantae; Streptophyta; Magnoliopsida; Poales; Bromeliaceae. The record is from RNAcentral.
CAUAUUCCCAAUUUAGAGGUUUAAUUAUUUUUAAAAAAAGAUUAAUUACAUACAGCUCUCUGUAAACAUAUUGAAUAGCAAAUGUAUCCCUACAAAGUUUAAAUUUUUAUUUUUAUCCCUACAAAAGUCCAAUGAUAUUUAUAUUUGCCUCUCUAUUUUGUUACCAUUAGAGUACUGUCUAUUUUUUAAUAGCAGAUAAGUGAAAUGGUAUUUUAUCCUUACAAGUAUAUUCCUUCAAAAACCCCAACUAUUAGAAUUAUACAGAAAUAUCCUCUCAAAAAGCAUUUUAGCAAUAAUACAAAAUUAGUAAAAAGGUCAAUUUAACUAAUUUACUAAUCAGAGUUAAGUAUUUUAUUUAUAGUUAAUUAUAUUUUUCUAACCGAUUCUAACAGCAAAAAUAUAUUUGAAAAUAUUAGAAGUUUUGUAGGGAUAAAAGUAAAAAGUUAAACUUUGUAAGGAUAUAUUUGCUAUUCGAUAUGUUUAGAGAAGGUUG